AGCUCCAAUAGCGUAUAUUAAAUUUGUUGCAGUUAAAAAGCUCGUAGUUUGAAUUCUGACCGGAGCGGUUGGUGCGACUCUCUGAGUUGUUACUUGCAUCAUCUCUGGCCAUCCUUGGGGAAAACCUGUCAGACAUUAGGUUGUCAGGCAGGGGGUACUCAUCGUUUACUGCAAGAAAUUAGAGUGUUCAAAGCAGGAUUACGCCGUUGAAUAUACUAGCAUGGAAUAAUAAUAUAGGACCCUUGUACUAUUUUUUUUGGUUUUUGCACGAGGGUAAUGAUUAACAGGGACAAUUGGGGAUAUUUGUAUUUCAGUGGAAGAGGUGAAAUUCUUGGAUUUCUGAAAGACAAACAACUGCGAAAGCAUUUAUCAAGGAUGUUUUCA
Molecule: ribosomal RNA, 384 nt
Filed under: uncultured eukaryote
Lineage: Eukaryota
Description: SSU rRNA
Rfam family: Eukaryotic small subunit ribosomal RNA
Source: RNAcentral